AGCCAGACUCCUACGGGAGGCAGCAGUGGGGGAUAUUGCACAAUGGGGGAAACCCUGAUGCAGCGACGCCGCGUGGGCGAAGAAGUAUUUCGGUAUGUAAAGCUCUAUCAGCAGGGAAGAAAAUGACGGUACCUGACUAAGAAGCCCCGGCUAACUACGUGCCAGCAGCCGCGGUAAUACGUAGGGGGCAAGCGUUAUCCGGAUUCACUGGGUGUAAGGGGAGCGUAGACGGCCAUGCAAGCCUGGAGUGAAAGCCCGGGGCCCAACCCCGGGACUGCUCUGGGAACUGUGCGGCUGGAGUGCGGGAGGGGCAGGCGGAAUUCCUGGUGUAGCGGUGAAAUGCGUAGAUAUCAGGAGGAACACCGGCGGCGAAGGCGGCCUGCUGGACCGCGACUGACGUUGAGGCUCGAAAGCGUGGGGAGCAAACAGGAUUAGAUACCCUCGUA
RNAcentral lists this ribosomal RNA (446 nucleotides) under uncultured bacterium. RNAcentral's name for it is "bacterial SSU rRNA". It matches the Rfam family "Bacterial small subunit ribosomal RNA", at positions 329 to 792 of the family's 1533-position model. The record is from RNAcentral.